AUAAUUCAUUUAGCAGAGUUUGAAAUCAUAAAAAGAAAAGGCUUGACUGAAUUACAUGAGAGGGGUAAAGUUAAAGAGCAAAUUUUUCCGUGCCAUACAAGCAUCAACAAAACGGUACAGCAUGAAACUCCUCUCAAAUUACAUGGAGAUGGACAUGUCUAAAAGGGCCUUGCAAUUCCUUUAAUUUUCACACCUAGCAAUACUGAUUAAACCCUAAAAAGCUAUCGUCAUAACGAAAAAAAAAAGAAAAAAAAAGAAAGGAAGAAAUAGAGAAGAGGAAAGAGGUGGGAAUGUAACACCACUC
Molecule: long non-coding RNA, 304 nt
Filed under: Eucalyptus grandis
Lineage: Eukaryota; Viridiplantae; Streptophyta; Magnoliopsida; Myrtales; Myrtaceae
Description: long non-coding RNA (EGRA_LNC007155)
Source: RNAcentral